ACGCUGGCGGCAGGCCUAACACAUGCAAGUCGAGCGGUAGAGAGAAGCUUGCUUCUCUUGAGAGCGGCGGACGGGUGAGUAAUGCCUAGGAAUCUGCCUGGUAGUGGGGGAUAACGUUCGGAAACGGACGCUAAUACCGCAUACGUCCUACGGGAGAAAGCAGGGGACCUUCGGGCCUUGCGCUAUCAGAUGAGCCUAGGUCGGAUUAGCUAGUUGGUGGGGUAAUGGCUCACCAAGGCGACGAUCCGUAACUGGUCUGAGAGGAUGAUCAGUCACACUGGAACUGAGACACGGUCCAGGCUCCUACGGGAGGCAGCAGUGGGGAAUAUUGGACAAUGGGCGAAAGCCUGAUCCAGCCAUGCCGCGUGUGUGAAGAAGGUCUUCGGAUUGUAAAGCACUUUAAGUUGGGAGGAAGGGUUGUAGAUUAAUACUCUGCAACUUUGACGUUACCGACAGAAUAAGCACCGGCUAACUCUGUGCCAGCAGCCGCGGUAAUACAGAGGGUGCAAGCGUUAAUCGGAAUUACUGGGCGUAAAGCGCGCGUAGGUGGUUUGUUAAGUUGGAUGUGAAAUCCCCGGGCUCAACCUGGGAACUGCAUUCAAAACUGACUGACUAGAGUAUGGUAGAGGGUGGUGGAAUUUCCUGUGUAGCGGUGAAAUGCGUAGAUAUAGGAAGGAACACCAGUGGCGAAGGCGACCACCUGGACUGAUACUGACACUGAGGUGCGAAAGCGUGGGGAGCAAAC
This 745-nucleotide ribosomal RNA is filed under the name uncultured bacterium. RNAcentral's name for it is "bacterial SSU rRNA". It matches the Rfam family "Bacterial small subunit ribosomal RNA", at positions 33 to 773 of the family's 1533-position model. The record is from RNAcentral.